This 429-nucleotide ribosomal RNA is filed under the name Bacteroidota bacterium. Its description in RNAcentral is "Bacteroidetes bacterium partial 16S ribosomal RNA". It matches the Rfam family "Bacterial small subunit ribosomal RNA", at positions 355 to 776 of the family's 1533-position model. The record is from RNAcentral. Lineage: Bacteria; Pseudomonadati; Bacteroidota.
UAGGGAAUCUUCCGCAAUGGACGCAAGUCUGACGGAGCAACGCCGCGUGAGUGAAGAAGGAUUUCGGUUCGUAAAACUCUGUUGUUAGAGAAGAACAGCGCAUAGAGUAACUGUUAUGCGUGUGACGGUAUCUAACCAGAAAGCCACGGCUAACUACGUGCCAGCAGCCGCGGUAAUACGUAGGUGGCAAGCGUUGUCCGGAUUUAUUGGGCGUAAAGCGAGCGCAGGCGGUCAAUUAAGUCUGAUGUGAAAGCCCCCGGCUCAACCGGGGAGGGUCAUUGGAAACUGGUUGACUUGAGUGCAGACGAGGAGAGUGGAAUUCCAUGUGUAGCGGUGAAAUGCGUAGAUAUAUGGAGGAACGCCAGUGGCGAAGGCGACUCUAUGGUCUGUAACUGACGCUGAGGCUCGAAAGCGUGGGUAGCAAACAGG